RNAcentral lists this transfer RNA (68 nucleotides) under Ceromasia rubrifrons. RNAcentral's name for it is "tRNA-Leu". The record is from RNAcentral. Lineage: Eukaryota; Metazoa; Arthropoda; Insecta; Diptera; Tachinidae.
AUUAUUUUGGCAGAUUAGUGCAAUAAAUUUAGAAUUUAUUUAUGUAAUUAAUUUUAUUACAAAUAAUA